ACUCGACCCCAUGAAGUCGGAGUCGCUAGUAAUCGCAGAUCAGCAACGCUGCGGUGAAUACGCUCCCGGGCCUUGUACACACCGCCCGUCACGUCAUGAAAGUUGGUAACACCCGACGCCAGUGGCCUAACCCUUGUGGGGGGAGCUGGCGAAGGUGGGAUCGGCGAUUGGGACGAUGUCGUAACAAGGUAGCCGUACCGGAAGGUGCGGCUGGAUCUCCUCCUUUUUAUGG
Molecule: ribosomal RNA, 232 nt
Filed under: Corynebacterium diphtheriae
Lineage: Bacteria; Bacillati; Actinomycetota; Actinomycetes; Mycobacteriales; Corynebacteriaceae
Description: partial 16S ribosomal RNA
Rfam family: Bacterial small subunit ribosomal RNA
Source: RNAcentral